UACGUAGGGUGCGAGCGUUAAUCGGAAUUACUGGGCGUAAAGCGUGCGCAGGCGGCUUUGCAAGACAGAUGUGAAAUCCCCGGGCUCAACCUGGGAACUGCAUUUGUGACUGCAAGGCUAGAGUACGGCAGAGGGGGAUGGAAUUCCGCGUGUAGCAGUGAAAUGCGUAGAUAUGCGGAGGAACACCAAUGGCGAAGGCAAUCCCCUGGGCCUGUACUGACGCUCAUGCACGAAAGCGUGGGGUGCAAACAGG
Molecule: ribosomal RNA, 253 nt
Filed under: uncultured bacterium
Lineage: Bacteria
Description: partial 16S ribosomal RNA
Rfam family: Bacterial small subunit ribosomal RNA
Source: RNAcentral